This 492-nucleotide ribosomal RNA is filed under the name uncultured bacterium. RNAcentral's name for it is "partial 16S ribosomal RNA". It matches the Rfam family "Bacterial small subunit ribosomal RNA", at positions 29 to 507 of the family's 1533-position model. The record is from RNAcentral.
AGUGAACGCUGGCGGUAGGCCUAACACAUGCAAGUCGAACGGCAGCACAGUAAGAGCUUGCUCUUACGGGUGGCGAGUGGCGGACGGGUGAGGAAUACAUCGGAAUCUACUUUUUCGUGGGGGAUAACGUAGGGAAACUUACGCUAAUACCGCAUACGACCUACGGGUGAAAGCAGGGGAUCUUCGGACCUUGCGCGAUUGAAUGCGCCGAUGUCGGAUUAGCUAGUUGGCGGGGUAAAGGCCCACCAAGUCGACGAUCCGUAGCUGGUCUGAGUGGAGGAUCGGCCACACUGGAAGUGAGACACGGACCAGACUCCUACGGGAGGCAGCAGUGGGGAAUAUUGGGCAGUGGGCGCAAGCCUGAUCCAGCCAUACCGCGCGGGUGAAGAAGGCCUUCGGGUUGUAAAGCCCUUUUGUUGGGUGAGAAAAGCAGCAGGUUAAUACCACGCUGUUCUGACGGUACCCAAAGAAUAAGCACCGGCUAACUUCGUG